This 702-nucleotide long non-coding RNA is filed under the name Gallus gallus (chicken). RNAcentral describes it as "long non-coding RNA NONGGAT005809". Lineage: Eukaryota; Metazoa; Chordata; Aves; Galliformes; Phasianidae. The record is from RNAcentral.
AAAAUCUGUACACAUAUUCGGGCAGACAUACAGAAACCGGGGGUAUGUGAGCCUCCAUCCUCUUUUUCCCUCCUUUCUGACAGGGAGCUGGAGGAGGACGCUGGACCAGAGCCCAGGAUGGAGUGACGCUGCGAGUGCCCAUUGCUUGCUACCAGCUCUGCUGCAGCCACAAGACCAGUUGUUACUUCGUUUAGAGCAGCAGCCAUCAGCUUGCAGCAUCCAAAAGAUGCAAUGAGAGUUACCCAUCCACAGCCCAGCAUCAGCAGUGCCUCCCGCAGUCACAGCACUGAAUCAGGGGAUCUUGGCCAGCUCUCCUCAUCCUAAGGUUAUCCUGCUUUCACAGCAUAAAACCCUGGUGAUUUUUGUUUAUUCCUUGCUGCAAGCAGGUGCCCUUCUACAUUUUAAACAAGUAUCACAUGCCACAAUAGUUAAUGAGUGACAGGUCCCUGCUAAUUCAUCCUGCACAAGGGGACUUAUCACAGGCAUUAAUGUGCAAACCGAUGCCAUCAUGAAGAAACGUUGCAUUUGAGGAUGCCCACUCAAUAGGGAAGAUUUCUCAUCUCUGAGAUGCCCACAGAAAGGUCAUGCCCACCUCCUGUCAGGGCUAAAUGGCAUUUUUGGCUUUGGCCGUGCAUUCCCAGCCAGUCCCGUGCGGGCUGUGCCAGGGGAGAGCCCAGACAUGCUGUCUCCCUGCUGAUUUUA